RNAcentral lists this transfer RNA (71 nucleotides) under Candidatus Omnitrophota bacterium. RNAcentral's name for it is "tRNA-Gly". It matches the Rfam family "tRNA". Rfam says of the family: Transfer RNA (tRNA) molecules are approximately 80 nucleotides in length. The record is from RNAcentral. Lineage: Bacteria; Pseudomonadati; Candidatus Omnitrophota.
GCGGGUGUAGUUCAAUGGUAGAACACGGGCUUCCCAAGCUCGUAGCGUGGGUUCGAUUCCCAUCACCCGCU